UAAGAUUCUAGUAGUUUUUUUGUUGUUGUUGUUAGUAUGCAUACUUAAGAUUCUAGUAUGUUUUUUGUUGUUGUUGUUGUUAGUAUGCAUACUUAAGAUUCUAGUGUUUUUGUUGUUGUUGUUGUUAGUAUGCAUACUUAAGAUUCUAGUAGUUUUUUUGGAUUCUAGUAUGUUUUUUGUAAGUAUGCAUACUUAAGAUUCUAGUAGUUUUUUUUUGUUAGUAUGCAUACUUAAGAUUCUAGUGGGGUUUUUUUGGAUUCUAGUAGUUCUUUUUCUAAGUAUGCAUACUUAAGAUUCUAUGGGGUUUUUUUUGGAUUCUAGUAGUUUUUUUUGGAAGUAUGCAUACUUAAGUUUCUAGUAGGGUUUUUUUGGAUUCUAGUAGUUUUUUUUGUAAGUAUGCAUACAUAAGAUUCUAGUAGUUUUUUUGGAUUCUAGUAGUUUGUUUUUUUAUUUGUAAGUAUGCAUACUUAAGGUUCUAGUAGUUUUUUGUUAGUAUUUGUAUAUAUUUUUGUACCAUGUACGUUUUAUGUUUCUAUGCUUAAACACUUCUUUGUAUUAGUAGAUCAGGGUUAAAUGUUGGGUAAGUUAGUGUUUUUUUACGGGCUGAAAUUAGAAAUAAAUAUGUAAUUUGUGAAGAGUUUCAUUCGUUGCUGGAUUAGCACACACAGCCCACCUAAGAGACUGUUCAGUGAUAAUGGUGGAGAGUUGAACAACGAGGAAAUAAGGGCCAUGGCAGAAAAGUUCAACAUUGAGGUAAAGACCACAGCAGCAUAUAGUCCCUGAAGCAAAUGGUCUUUUAGAGAGACACAAUCAGACCCUCACAGAAAUACUGAUGAAAGUUUAAAAAAAAAAAAAAAAAAGACAAUAAAUAUGACUGGAAAACUGCCCUAGAUUGGGCAUUGAUGGCAAAAAAGUCCAUGCACAAUGUAUAUGGAUUUAGAUAUCAACUUGUGUUUGGAUAAAAUCCAAAUCUACCCUCAAUCUACCAAAUCUACCAAGAGUUGUUAUGGCAGUCACAUGUCAGAAGGUGAACUCCAUAGAUAUCAAAGCCGCUUUUCUACAGGUAAGAGAGUUGAUUAGAAAUGUCUACAUUUACCCUCCUCUAGAAACGCACUGCAAAGGAACCCUGUGGAAGUUGAACAAAUAUGUGUAUGGUUUGGUAGAUGCCUCUCUGUACUGGUACAACAAGCUCAAAGAUACUAUGCAGCAGCUGGGAGGUCACGUGUCACCGGUUGACCCUGCAGUGUUCUACUGGCUGAAUGAUGGUGAUGGACAUGAAGAGCACAACAGCUUCAGUUAUGUACAGGAGGAAUGGAAAUCUCUUCUGGAAAUGGAGAGAUACAUGUACACCAAAGCACAUAUAUAAAGAGUCUUCAGCCCAUUGUUAUAGAUCCGGACAGAGCUGUGCAACGUAACGCUCCACUGACAGACCGUGAGACUGACAUGCUGAGGUCUAAGAUCUCGCAAACAAGCUUAUCAGAAAACUAAAGUCAGGGGAAGUGACUCUAAAAUUUCAGAACCUGGGAAAAGACAGCUCCUGAAACUGGGAAAUCUUCCAGAUGGUCGUACUCAAGGCCAUCUAAUCUUGUUGAUGGGAGAAGAUGGAAAAUUCUCACCUAUCUCUUGGCAGUCUAAGAGAAUCAGAAGAGUUGGCAGGAGAAACUUUGGUGCUUGCUGAUGACAUUGAUAAUGGGAACUGGUUUUCUGCACUCUACUCAGAAAUAAAAACCGGCGACAGCAACAG
Long non-coding RNA from Ictalurus punctatus (channel catfish), 1744 nucleotides. Lineage: Eukaryota; Metazoa; Chordata; Actinopteri; Siluriformes; Ictaluridae. The record is from Ensembl.